Molecule: transfer RNA, 71 nt
Filed under: Loxodonta africana (African savanna elephant)
Lineage: Eukaryota; Metazoa; Chordata; Mammalia; Proboscidea; Elephantidae
Rfam family: tRNA
About the family: Transfer RNA (tRNA) molecules are approximately 80 nucleotides in length. Their secondary structure includes four short double-helical elements and three loops (D, anti-codon, and T loops).
Source: Rfam by way of RNAcentral
GCAUUGGUGGUUCAGUGGCGGAAUUUUCAUCUUCCACGUGGGAGACCUGGGUUUGAUUUCCAGCCAAUGCA